Syngnathus acus (greater pipefish) is the source of this 426-nucleotide long non-coding RNA. RefSeq lists it as uncharacterized. The record is from RefSeq and is a predicted model, not a curated record. The transcript has 3 exons. NCBI's taxonomy places the organism in Eukaryota, Metazoa, Chordata, Actinopteri, Syngnathiformes, Syngnathidae.
UUAGCAUUUCCUCUGCACGCAUAGCCGUCCAAAGUCAUCUUGGUCUACUGGCCCUCGCACUUUGGUCAUAGGUGACUCCAUUACCCGAAAUAUUACGCUUAAAAAUCCAGCCACGGUAAUGUGUAUUCCUGGGGGCAGAGCACCCGACAUAGAAGCUAAUCUUAGGGAGCUGACUCGCAAUAGGUCUAGUCAACAGCGUAGUUCCAACAACACUAGCUACUCGGACAUAGUGAGACACGUCAGCUCCAAUGAUGUUAGGAUGAGGCAAUCGGAGAUCACAAAGAGAAACAUAGCGAGGACUUGUGAUCUCGCCAGAAAGAUGAGUCGGCAUCGAGUAUUUGUCUCUGGCCCCCUGCCUGGGAGAGGCACUGAUGAGAGGUUUAGUAGAUUAGUCUCCCUUAAUCGUUGGAUGGCUGGGUUCUGUAA